AGUGAACGCUGGCGGUAGGCCUAACACAUGCAAGUCGAACGGCAGCACAGUAAGAGCUUGCUCUUACGGGUGGCGAGUGGCGGACGGGUGAGGAAUACAUCGGAAUCUACUUUUUCGUGGGGGAUAACGUAGGGAAACUUACGCUAAUACCGCAUACGACCUACGGGUGAAAGCAGGGGAUCUUCGGACCUUGCGCGAUUGAAUGAGCCGAUGUCGGAUUAGCUAGUUGGCGGGGUAAAGGCCCACCAAGGCGACGAUCCGUAGCUGGUCUGAGAGGAUGAUCAGCCACACUGGAACUGGGACACGGUCCAGACUCCUACGGGAGGCAGCAGUGGGGAAUAGUGGACAAUGGGCGCAAGCCUGAUCCAGCCAUACCGCGUGGGUGAAGAAGGCCUUCGGGUUGUAAAGCCCUUUUGUUGGGAAAGAAAAGCAGCAGGUUAAUACCCCGCUGUUCUGACGGUACCCAAAGAAUAAGCACCGGCUAACUUCG
Molecule: ribosomal RNA, 490 nt
Filed under: uncultured bacterium
Lineage: Bacteria
Description: partial 16S ribosomal RNA
Rfam family: Bacterial small subunit ribosomal RNA
Source: RNAcentral